AGAAGGAAGUGGGGAUAAUGACGGAGUGUCACCGUGUGCGGGCCCUCCGCGGGGCUCGGCGGCUCCGAGGGCACGGAGUGCAAAUAGAGUGGGUUCGGGAGCCGUUCUGAAAAGAAAGGCUGCCUUUGAGAGCCGCUGUCGGGAGCCGCGAAACUUUUAUCCCCGCGGAUGAAGUGCCGGGUUCGUCAGAGCUGUGUACUCACGGAGGGGUAAUGAAAGAGCAACGCUUUUAGCGUGGUGGAUGGAUGAAAAUAGGCCGCUGUGAGACUGAAAAUACGAUGAAGGUGGCACACCGCAGUGCUAAUUAAGUGUCUUAAUUGGGAAAAUAAUAACGCCCUCUCGGAUGUGCAUUGGGUCUGCUCAUUUCUCAGCUGUAUGAGUACACACAGGUGCAAGGAAAGUCAACAUUAUGUAAGAUGCCAAAAACCUUUGCUGGAACGUCGCUCCCUGCUGACAAGAUGAUCCCACACCGGGGUGUGGGCAUUCCGGAGAAUUAAACCUGUGUGUGAAAACACAUCUCAUAGAAACCAUGAACGCAUGCCAAGGUAAUAGCCGCUGCCUCCCCGCCUACAUAUUUAUUUGUGAUACAUGACAGCAGCAUUACGCUUAUUUCUUCUUUAUUUUCAUUUUAGCUAGGGAUUUUUAUUAUUAUUAUUUUG
This 659-nucleotide long non-coding RNA is filed under the name Gallus gallus (chicken). Its description in RNAcentral is "long non-coding RNA NONGGAT007249". Lineage: Eukaryota; Metazoa; Chordata; Aves; Galliformes; Phasianidae. The record is from RNAcentral.